UGCCUAUUAGCUCAAUUGGUAGAGCUUCGUGCGCUUGCACAAUGAUGUAAGUUCGAGUCCUACAUAGGCAA
This 71-nucleotide transfer RNA is filed under the name Spinacia oleracea (spinach). It matches the Rfam family "tRNA". From Rfam's summary of the family: Transfer RNA (tRNA) molecules are approximately 80 nucleotides in length. Their secondary structure includes four short double-helical elements and three loops (D, anti-codon, and T loops). Further hydrogen bonds mediate the characteristic L-shaped molecular structure. tRNAs have two regions of fundamental functional importance: the anti-codon, which is responsible for specific mRNA codon recognition, and the 3' end, to which the tRNAs corresponding amino acid is attached (by aminoacyl-tRNA synthetases). tRNAs cope with the degeneracy of the genetic code in two manners: having more than one tRNA (with a specific anti-codon) for a particular amino acid; and 'wobble' base-pairing, i.e. permitting non-standard base-pairing at the 3rd anti-codon position. Lineage: Eukaryota; Viridiplantae; Streptophyta; Magnoliopsida; Caryophyllales; Amaranthaceae. The record is from Rfam by way of RNAcentral.